UGCGCCAGUGGCCGCGCACGGUUCCUUUAAAGCGUUAGCGGCAACGGCGUAAGGAGAGAAUAAUCACUGCUGCUGGAUAAGCAGCCGCACGGCGAAGGGAUAAAAACACAUCUGAGGUGUUUGGGUGACAUUUAAAAUUUGCAAGAUAAGAGCCUCAAUUAUUUAUUCGCUGAAUCCCCAGGUAGAAUGGCCUGCGCUGGUACCGCCGCUGCAUAUGUAUGUGCACCUACAUAAAGAGAUUUUUCUUUUUGUUCUGUAAACUGAUCCAGUCAUUGAUGUUGACAGUAUGUUAUAGUUAUGUGAAAACAGUGUAAUUGUGUGAUGGCUCAUCAGUGCUACGACUGCCAAUUGUGGUGGCAGUGGGUGUUCUCACAAUUCAAGGCUCAUGAAAGUAACAGCACAGAUCCACUGAGAUGAUCAUUACACAGUAGGCACAGCCAAAGAUGUCAAUAAAGAAAAAUGAUUGCAGCAGAGUGGGCUGGUGCAGGAAGAGAGAGGCUUUCUGCUUUGCGUUUUCAGCAAUUAAAAACCCUACGACAUCUUCUGCAAAACAUCAUGUCUUUCCUUCAGCCUGGAUGCCGCAACAUAUAACAGUUACAUCUCAAACAUCAGGCACGACAGCAAAGCCAGCCAAGGGCUUUGUAGUGAAUUCUGAAGGCAUGUGGUGCAGCAGUGAAAAACUGGGCAGUUGGGUCAGGCAGGGUCAGGCAUUGAGCUUCAGCAGUGUGAUGUUACGGUGCUUCUACUCAGAGGAUUCUAACCGCUAUGCUAUAUGUAUCUAACUGUAUAGAUUACGGUUAUCUAUAACUGAUUAUCUAUGUUAUUUUCCAUACAAAGUUGUCCAUCAGAACUACCUUUACUAGAUAAAUGCACAUUUAGAUAUGUAUAUCAAAAUGCAUUACAUAUAUUUCUAACUAGCAUAUACUGCACAGUGUAUUGUAUAUUCAGUCUAGUCAAAAGGCCAAAAGUAUUCCAUGGACUCUGGAUUAUAUUCCUGCCAGAUGAUCUGAAAGUUAUCACCUGCUGACUAACUCCACAUGUUAUCCUCCUGCUCUGCCAUAUGGCCCUGGAUGAUGAGACCCAACGCACCCUCCUCAGAUGACACCACGCUGAAGGGAUGGUUGAUAUAGUGGAGGGCAGAGCUGCCAUUCAGAAAGACCUCAACAAACUGUAGGAACCUCAUGAAGUUCAACAAAGACAAAUGUGACGUCCUACAUCCAGGCCGGAAGUACCCCAUGCAAGAGGACAGACUGGAGGCUGAGUAGGUGACCCUACAGCCAGCGUUUUGGGGCCAUAGCAUGAGAGAUACUGACAAACUGGAGGGCUUCCAGAAAAGGCUACUAAGACAGGGGGCUGGAGGAUAUGAUGUACAAGAAGAAGCCGGCACAAUUGGGUCUGAUUAGCCUGGAAAAGAGCAGACUAAGAAGGAAUACAACUGCAGUCUUCCACCACCUUAAAGGAGGAUUAUGGAGAAGACAGAACCAGACUUUUCUCAGAGAUGCAUAGCAAAAGGAUAAGAGACAACAGUCAUAAGCAGCAAUGAGGAAAAUAAUGAUUGGAAAUAAGGAAAAAAAUUCAUCCCAGUGGGCUUGGUGCAUCACUGGGUCAGAGGCCCAAAGGACCUGUUCAGUCUCUGCCCCUGGAAAUUUUCAAAAUUUGACAAGGCCCUGAGCAACUGGAUCUGAUUUUGAAGCUAGCCCUGCUUUGAGCAGGAGGUUGGACUAGAGACCUGUAGAUGCCUCUUCCAAUCUACAUUUUUCUGUGAGUCUACAUUGUAAGACCCAGUUCUGUAGAAUACUAAGCACUGCAACCUUUCCAUCAGUCAAAGAUGCUUGAACUUCUGUCAGGGGUCAGAGUCCCUUACAGAGGGAGCAGUGGCCUGUCUAAGCCUCAGCGAUGAUUUCAUUUCUGGUAGGUAACCAGAUCUGAGUCUGAUCAAUUAUUUGAUUGCAUAGACAAUCCUCCAUUGCUGACUCACUCUUCCAUCCCAAAUACCUAUUGUAAGGUAGUCUUACAGUUUUAUUCACAUUGUAAUAACAGACUGAGAUAUUCAAGGUUUGAUACUCCUCUCCCUUUCCUCAAAAAUGCAAGAUUCAACAGCGAUAAAGAAGAAGAAAAGACAGAAAAAAUGUUUUUUCUUGAACAAUGAAUGGAACUGCUACAUUUCAGGCAUUUCUGCAUCUUCUUCUUUCUGCUCGGAAACACACUGCAGACAGUUUUGAUUUUGUCCACAGAAGAAAA
Struthio camelus australis is the source of this 2241-nucleotide long non-coding RNA. RefSeq lists it as uncharacterized. The record is from RefSeq and is a predicted model, not a curated record. NCBI's taxonomy places the organism in Eukaryota, Metazoa, Chordata, Aves, Struthioniformes, Struthionidae.